This 521-nucleotide ribosomal RNA is filed under the name uncultured bacterium. RNAcentral describes it as "bacterial SSU rRNA". It matches the Rfam family "Bacterial small subunit ribosomal RNA", at positions 8 to 518 of the family's 1533-position model. The record is from RNAcentral.
AGAGUUUGAUUAUGGCUCAGGAUGAACGCUAGCUACAGGCUUAACACAUGCAAGUCGAGGGGCAGCAUGGUCUUAGCUUGCUAAGGCCGAUGGCGACCGGCGCACGGGUGAGUAACGCGUAUCCAACCUUCCCCCCAGUAGAGGAUAGCCCGGCGAAAGUCGGAUUAAUACUCUAUGUUCUUCGUGGAUGGCAUCUGAAAUGAAGCAAAGGUUCACCGCUAGGGGAUGGGGAUGCGUCUGAUUAGGUAGUCGGCGGGGUAACGGCCCACCGAGCCUUCGAUCAGUAGGGGUUCUGAGAGGAAGGUCCCCCACAUUGGAACUGAGACACGGUCCAAACUCCUACGGGAGGCAGCAGUGAGGAAUAUUGGUCAAUGGGCGAUAGCCUGAACCAGCCAAGUAGCGUGCAGGAAGACGGCCCUACGGGUUGUAAACUGCUUUUAUGCGGGGAUAAAGUAGCCCACGUGUGGGUUUUUGCAGGUACCGCAUGAAUAAGGACCGGCUAAUUCCGUGCCAGCAGCUGC